Molecule: long non-coding RNA, 2094 nt
Organism: Humulus lupulus (European hop)
Lineage: Eukaryota; Viridiplantae; Streptophyta; Magnoliopsida; Rosales; Cannabaceae
Exons: 3
Source: RefSeq, a predicted model, not a curated record
UGGAAAUAUAAAAAAGUGAUAAAUUUGUAGGAUUUUAGGGUAUAAUGAUUUGGAAUCAGAGAAAACAUGAUUUUCUUGUUUUUGAUUUUAGAACACAAAAUAAGAAUACUGAUUUGAAUUUUAUUUUCAAAACCAUAUUACUAAUCACUUAUUCUUGUAGGUCUCACUAUUUUCAAGUUUUUAAAAUGAUAAAAUUGGAUUCGUAUACUAUACCAAUCAAACCCUAAAUCAAAAUCUUUUUUCUUAGAAUGCAUAUCCUCCCUCUAGUGUACAUCGAGAAAUCAUCGCAUUUGGUGCCUUCGUCCCCAACUCUGGCCAAACCUGCCUCCGCAUUGGUACAACUUCGUCCCUAACUCUGACUCUGGCCAAAUCUACCUCUGCAUUGGUGCAUAUUCGUACCUGACUCCGAACAGUUCUGCCUCUGUUUGACAUCCUUUGUCCCCAAAUUGGCCUCCGCCUCUAGCGCCCUUCGUCCCCAACAACGACCCCAGAUUUGCCUCCACUCGUUGCCUUUUUUCCUAAACCUCGACCUAUCGGCCUUUACAUCGACACCCUUUGUCCCCAACCCCAGCAAGAUCCACCUCUAGCGCCCUUCAUCCUUAACCCUAGCAAGAUCUGCCUUUAGCGCCCUUCAUCCUCAACACCAGCAAGAUCCGCCUCUACAUCAACGCCCUUUGUCCCCAACCCCGACCUCAGAUUGGCCUCUACCUCCAGCACCCUUCAUCCUCAUCCUUGGCCACAUCUGCCUCUGCAUCAAUGUCGUUCAUCCCCAACCCAGGCCCAAGAUCUAGUGCAAGUGGUCCAGCGCACAACUCACCCAGCCUCAUCUCUUGCUUUGGGUGGAUCUGGGAAUGGGUCAUAUCUGUUUUUUCUUUGGACAUUUUGGUAGCUAUAAGUCUGCGUUGGUUAUUGAGUUAGAGUGUAUAUGAAAGGAUUGAUUGUUGAGUCUGUUUGAUGAACAUAUAUAGUUGAGUAUUGAUAUAUGUAUUUCACUGUUAAUUUUUUUCUUUGUUAUUUUUGGGUAUAAAUAUAAGUUUGUGUAGGGCACCAAAAAAAAUUAUUAUUUUAAUAGUUUUUUUUUAAAAUUAAUUGUUAAGUGUUAGAAUUUUAUUUUCAUUGUUUGGUAGAAAUUAUGUGAAUUUAAUGUUGUUAAUAUUUUUACUUAAUUAUUAUAUUUUAAGAGCUUUCUUGAGUUUUGGUUAGCUGCACUAAUGUGCAUGGUUAGUAGAGAAGCACUAGAGUGCUUGUGUGUGUAUGCAUGCGCAUGGUAUGCAUGGUGAACAUGCAUUAGUUUCCAUGCAUAUUUUUCUAUUGAUUAUUUAUUUAUUUUGUUUAAUUAAUUUAGAAAGAAAAAAAAAGGAAAUAAUAGGAGGAAUUAUACAUGAAUAUUUUUUGAAGAUAUGUGUUUAUUAGAGGAUUUGGGAUUUAAUAGGAAAAAAAAAAGAAGCAAGAGGAAGAGGAGAGAGAGGGUAAACGUGUGGCAUGAAGGAGAGAAGUCAAGGGAAAUUGUUUCCUUAUGUAGUUGAUAGACAUCUUUUAUAUUGAUUUUCUUGUAUUUUCUUUUAUUAAAAUAUCAAGGAUAAAGGGGAAUUAAAUUGAGGAGUUUCUCUUUCCCAUUGGAGCAUAGGAUUUCAAGUCUUUAAAUAGAAAUAGGAAGAGCUUGGGAGCUCCUGUUGGUGGCCGACUCCAUAGAGGAGGAGGAUAGAGAGAGGCUUGGCUAGAGAGAGUGAGAGAGCACGAGCAGAGGAGAAUGAAGAAGAAGAAGAAGGAGAAGGAGAAUAGGAGGGGUUCAAAAUCUUGAUAGGUGCCAAAAAGUGAAUCAACUUUGUGAGUUUGAUUACUAUCAAAUGAGGUUACUCAGCAUGAGACAAUCCUAGGAGGCAAGUCAAUGGGAAAGUCACAACGAGAUCCAUACUUGAUUCGGAGUGAGUCAAGGAGUAUUUAGCACAUUACCGGGAUAUUGGGUAAUGGUGAUUAGUGCUCAAAAAUGCAAAUUUAUUGGUUUUAAAGUGUAAAAUAAAUUAAUUUUUAAUUAAUAUUUUUAUGAAUUUAUUGUAAUGUAUUUUACAAUUGAAAAUAUUAAUUUGUGUUUAA